Long non-coding RNA from Cucurbita maxima (winter squash), 236 nucleotides. RefSeq lists it as uncharacterized. The transcript has 3 exons. NCBI's taxonomy places the organism in Eukaryota, Viridiplantae, Streptophyta, Magnoliopsida, Cucurbitales, Cucurbitaceae. The record is from RefSeq and is a predicted model, not a curated record.
GAGAAGAUGAAGGAAGAACUCCUUGAUAAUCGAGCAGCAAUCCCUAGGCUUGGCUAAAUGAUAACCAUGACAAAACAUUAUGGCCUUAUCAAGAUCAUCGAGCAACAAUCCCUAGGCCACAGCUCUGCAAUAGGUGGUUAAGAUACUUUGACAGGUCAUGGUAGGGAAGAACAGUGAGAUAGAAGGCUAGCAGCCAUCAUCAAGGAGGAGGAAGGAAGGCAAGACUUAGAACAAGA